GCUGCUUGCUUUGCAUUGAAUUUAGUCUACAUUUGGAGUAUACCUUAUGAGAGUCUUGUCAUACUUUUGAAAUUAAGAUCACUUACGCACUCCACCCACAAAUGCAUUACUCCUACUCUGGGAUAUAAGCACAAUCAUUUUCACCUUCAUCCAGAUCCACCUUAAAAAUGUUCUUUUUCCUACACUAGGAGUAAACACCCAAAAAUAUACCCUAUAGGGCAACCCCCA
Molecule: long non-coding RNA, 228 nt
Filed under: Sorghum bicolor (sorghum)
Lineage: Eukaryota; Viridiplantae; Streptophyta; Magnoliopsida; Poales; Poaceae
Description: long non-coding RNA (SBIC_LNC012427)
Source: RNAcentral